GUUUACAACCAUAACACCCUGGAAGUGCCUGAUCCCAUCUGAUCUCUGAAGCUAAGCAAAGCCUGGUUAGUACUUGGAUGGGAGAAAAGCUAUGAAUGUUGGGAAAG
RNAcentral lists this ribosomal RNA (107 nucleotides) under Prolemur simus (greater bamboo lemur). The record is from RNAcentral. Lineage: Eukaryota; Metazoa; Chordata; Mammalia; Primates; Lemuridae.